AACAAGGCGUACCUGCGGACCUGCGGAGGGAUCAUUACCAGAGAGCCUUUUGGCACUCCAACCCAUUGUGAACAUACCUAUCGUUCCCUCGGCGGGCUCAGCGCGCGGGGCCUCCGGGCUUCCGGGCGUCCGCCGGGGACAACCAAACCCUGAUUUACUACGUGUAUCUCUGAGGGGCGAAAGCCCGAAAACAAAAUAAAUCAAAACUUUUAACAAUGGAUCUCAGAUCGGAAGAGCACA
This 240-nucleotide unclassified non-coding RNA is filed under the name soil metagenome. RNAcentral describes it as "partial contains 5.8S ribosomal RNA, internal transcribed spacer 2, and large subunit ribosomal RNA". The record is from RNAcentral.